AUGGCUCAGGAUAAACGCUGGCGGCGUGCUUAACACAUGCAAGUCGAACGGAGUAAUCCUCCCGAAGACCUGACGAGCUUGCUCAGAUGGAAUUCAUUUGGAUUACUUAGUGGCGGACGGGUGAGUAACGCGUGGGUAACCUGCCCUAUACUGGGGGAUAGCAGUUGGAAACGACUGAUAAUACCGCAUAAGCGCACAGGACCGCAUGGUCUAGUGUGAAAAAACUCCGGUGGUAUAGGAUGGACCCGCGUCUGAUUAGCUAGUUGGCGAGGUAACGGCCCACCAAGGCGACGAUCAGUAGCCGGCCUGAGAGGGUGUGCGGCCACAUUGGGACUGAGACACGGCCCAAACUCCUACGGGAGGCAGCAGUGGGGAAUAUUGGACAAUGGGGGAAACCCUGAUCCAGCGACGCCCGCGUGAGCGAUGAAGUAUUUCGGUAUGUAAAGCUCUAUCAGCAGGGAAGAUAAUGACGGUACCUGACUAAGAAGCACCGGCUAAAUACGUGCCAGCCGCUGC
RNAcentral lists this ribosomal RNA (516 nucleotides) under uncultured bacterium. Its description in RNAcentral is "bacterial SSU rRNA". It matches the Rfam family "Bacterial small subunit ribosomal RNA", at positions 19 to 518 of the family's 1533-position model. The record is from RNAcentral.